This is an RNA transcript of Agrilus planipennis (emerald ash borer), 6309 nucleotides long. It is a transcript of the gene named retinal-specific ATP-binding cassette transporter, with no coding region annotated. Lineage: Eukaryota; Metazoa; Arthropoda; Insecta; Coleoptera; Buprestidae. The transcript has 20 exons. The record is from RefSeq and is a predicted model, not a curated record.
CAUAGAUAACGAAAAGUAUAUGUAUAUGAUAUGCAUAUAGUACUGAUUAUCGACGUAUAUAGUAUAUGUCGAUGGUCUUCUCUAUGCCACUGCAUUAUCUAUGGCCACUGCUGUCUUAUGUGGGUGUUGGUACUUGAUCGUUUUCAGCAGUUUUCAAUCAUUUUCACUAUAUUUUUAGUUCAUGUUCGCGUAUGGUGCUAGUGGAAUCGGUAGAAUCAGAAAAUAGCGAUAAAAUGUGCAAAAUUGAGAUGUUUAAUAUUAUGUGAUUGAUUUUAAUGCAAACGAAAAAGUAUAAACAAAAUAUUUUAUUUAAAGACCAUCACGUUUUAUAGUGCGCAGAAACCGAAUAGCCACUUUUGUUUUGGUUGUUAAUAGCAUAUUCCACAUAAAAUUUAAAAUGGCUUCAUUUUUGCAUAAAAUGCGUUUGUUACUAUGGAAAAAUUGGUUACUUCGGAAGAGACAUCCAUUUGUUUCAUUGUGCGAAUUUGUUAUUCCCGUUUUAACUUUUGUAUUAAUUGCUUAUACACGCUCAAAAAUACAAACAUUUGGAAAGCAAUAUGUUAACACAUCGACUUACAUGGAACCAAUUUCUACAUCAGAUUUUUAUAACAGUAAAUUUAAGCUCACUGAUGGCAAGCUUCUUUUUACUCCUAAAACAAAAUUUACAUCAGAUCUCAUGGAAGAAGUUCAGUUAAAACUUAAUGUUCGUAAUAGUGAUCUCCUGGGCUUUAACUCUGAAUUAGAUCUGUUAAUCUACUAUGAAAAUACAGCUAAAAAUUAUACAAUUAUGGCUGUUGUCUUCAAUUUAGCAGAAGCAAAUGAAAUUCCAACAUUUUUAAAUUAUAAAAUAAGACCUCAUGAAGAGUCAGUGACGUGGUACACAGACCAGCUCUAUUAUAACUUCCCACAAUAUAUUCCUGGAACAGGUUCAGAAGUGUACAUAGAAAAGGGAUUUAUGGCAUUGCAAUUAGCCAUAGAAACAUCCUAUAUUGAAAUGGUAUCUGGUGCAAAAUUACCAAAUAUUUUUUUACAAGAAUUUCCAAUUCCUCCACAUUUAAAUGAUAUAGGCAUAAAUGAUAUGUUUAAUUAUAUUCUGCCAAUAGUAACUGUUUUUAGUUUUGUUACGUUGUGUUUGUCAGUUUUAAAGAGAGUUGUGGAAGAAAAGAACACAGGAAUUAAGGAGUUAAUAAAAAUCUUGGGUCUAAAAUCAUGGAUGCAUUGGAUGGGAUGGUUCAUUCACGCGUUCGUUCCAAGUUUGUUAGCCGUGUGCUGUAUAACAUUUUUGAUGAAAGUUAAAAUGAUGGAUACACCAUAUCCUCCGAUUGAGCAUUGCAGUCCAUGGAUAUUAUUGGUUUUUUUACUGCUUUAUUGUGUUGCUGGAAUUGCCUUUAGUUUUGCAUUUAGUACGCUAUUCAGCAAACCAACUAUUGCCAUGAUUUCUGGUAUUUUGAUCUGGCUCGUUCCUUACUUUGUAUUUAAGUCGAUUGUCAGCCAGUAUCCUAUGAUGAAGUGGUCAUAUAAAAUUAUCAUAUCUUUAUUUCCUAAUAUGGCGUUAGAGUUUGGAUUCAAAGCAAUUUCUGUAUAUGAAGGCCGAGAAAUUGGGCUUCAUUGGAAUAAUUUUAUGAAAGCGGGUUCUGAAGGUGUAGAAGACAUGUCAAUGUUGAGUGUCAUGAUCAUGCUUAUUAUUGAUAUUGUAUUCUACGUGGUAUUGGCGUUAUAUAUUGAUAACAUAAAUCCAGGACCUUAUGGUCUUGCAAAACCUUAUUAUUAUCCCUUUUUGAAUUUGAAGAAAUUCGUAUCACGUUUUAAUAGAGAAAUUAAGGUCGAUGACGAUAGCAAACUUAUUAACGAAGAUACUAACGAAAACAUUGAGCCUGCAGACUAUUUAAAAUCGGGUAUAAAGAUUAGAAAGUUGCAUAAAAAAUAUGGAACCAAAAAAGCUGUCUGUGGUCUUUCGAUGGAUAUUUAUCAAGAUCAAAUUACAGCUCUUUUAGGACAUAAUGGGGCUGGUAAAACUACCACACUGUCCAUAUUAACCGGAAUGAUUCAGUUAACAAGUGGUGAAAUAGAAAUUAAUGGUACAAUUAUUGGUCCAAAUUCAGGGAACAAAGAUUUGGAUGAAAUUCGCAAUUUGUUAGGCUUAUGUCCUCAACAAAAUUUACAUUUUAAAGAUCUCACUGUUUUUGAACAUCUUCUAUUUUUUGGAAUGUUACGAGGUAGCGAUCCCAAGGAUGUACGAAUAGAAGCCGAAGAUCUUUUGCAAAAAUUAAAUUUAAACAACAAAAGGAAUUAUAUGCCUUCGUCUCUUUCAGGUGGAAUGAAGAGAAAGUUGUCGCUCGGUAUGGCACUUAUCGGACAUUCAAAGAUCUUAAUUUUGGACGAACCGACGUCAGGUUUAGAUCCGGAGGCUCGAAGGGAAAUUUGGGACAUGCUCUUGAAUUUUAGAGGAUCUCGUACUAUAAUCAUUAGUACACAUUUCAUGGAAGAAGCUGAUGUACUCGGCGAUAGAAUUGCUAUAAUGGAUCAUGGACAGUUGGUUUGUUAUGGUACAUCCAUGUUUCUUAAGAAAAUUUAUGGAACGGGUUAUCAUUUGAAAGUAAGCGUUAAUUCAGAAACUGAAGACAGUAUGCGAGUCAAUAGAGAGUCGUUUUCUACAGUAGAGAAUAUUGUGAAAAGUUGCAUACCUAAGGCGGAAAUCGAGCAGAGAAGGGGAAAUUCUUGUAACAUACUAUUGCCCUUGGAGAACAAGCCAGAUUAUAGUAAGGUUCUCGAAAAGCUGGAAUUAAAUAAGAAAGAAUUGAACAUUUCGAACAUUAACUUGACUUAUACUACAUUGGAGGAAGUUUUCUUGAGAGUUGAAAAUAUAGCUGCAAAAGAAAGAGGAGAACGCAAGAGUGAAACUGGUAGUGAAAAUAUGAAAAACAUGAUUGACCCCAAGAAAACUGGAUUAGCAUUACACAUGCAAAGGUUCUUAAUAUUGAUGAAAAAGAGGUUUUUAGUGUCGAAAAAAAUGAGAAAGGUCACAAUUUUACAGAUAGUAUUGCCGCUGCUUUUGACAUUAACAACUGUAUAUUUUUCGAGCAAUAACAACGAACAUUUUAUAGAAAAAGAACCGUCAUUACUACUUGAUCUCAGUUUGUACGGUAAACCGUUUGUCUACUACAAUGCCCCGUCAUCUGGUGAUUUGUUGAAAGUUUCUCACUAUUACGAUCAAGUAGUUUCGAAGCAGAAUGGAAUUCCUUUACGUGUUGACAGUGUAUCAAAUGAGAUAAUCAACAAAGGAAUCGAAAAUAUUGUUUCAUACAAAACCCGUCUGGUUGUGGCUGCAGAAUUCAACGAAACCGGCAAUGAUUCGAUCUUGAACGCGAUGUAUUCAAAUACCGCUCUCCACGGCGCUCCCAUUUCGUUGAAUAUGCUAAUGAAUGCCUUGUUAAAGACCCUUAAGGAUCCAUCUUAUUCGAUUUCGGUUAAAAAUGACCCUCUUCCUGUCUUAGCUGCUACCAAAUCUCUUAAUCAACAGUCUUCGGCUGAAGUUGCCAUCCUUUGGUUAUUUCUCUUUCCUCUAGGUCUUCUUUUUGCAAUUAGCGGUUUUCUUCUUUUUCCGCAAAUGGAAAAUAUGACCUCUUCGAAACAAUUGCAGCUAAUGUGUGGCAUACGUCCAGAAUUUUAUUGGAGUACCACGUACCUAUUCGAUCUUAUUUUCUACUUUCUUGUGAUAUUAUUACAACUACUUGGAGUGGGAAUGAUGUGCGCUUUCGUAAAAUCAACUUUCAUAGGAGCCAACGAAGUAGACGCACUGGUGGCAAUCAUGGCUGCCUAUGGAGUAAGCGGUAUCCCGUUCUCUUACCUGUUCAGUUACAAAAAAAGUGCCGCUAGCGCUUUUGUUGCCUUUAUUAUAAGUAGCCUUUUUCUUGGUACUAUAUUGACUGUAAUUGUGCUGGUUUUGGAAUUAUCCGGUGCUGCUUAUUAUGAAAGAAUUGGUGAAGUUUUGAGGUAUAUAUUUCCAGUAUUGCCCCAAUUUGGAAUGACUUAUACUUCCGUCCGAUUCGCCAUCAAGGCUGUUUCUAAUUACAACUGGAUGUUAAAGUCAGAUGAUGAUAAGAAAAGAAAGUGCUAUUUUGACCAUAAUCCGUGUUGUGAUGGAGAAUAUACCAGUCAGUGUUUUACGUAUCGAUCAUAUUUGUACUCACCGAAAGAAGGUAUAAGCACAGAACUGAUGGUAAUGAUCGCAUCAAGUUUAGGGUACAUGGUGAUAUUGGCCAUUAUAGAAACGAAUUUUGGUAAAAAAGUGCAGGACUGGUUUUCUACAACUAUUUUGCAAAUGAUUCAUCCAGACAAGUCAGUUGAACAGUUAGACAGGGAAGUGAAAAACGAACACGAUAGAGUGCAUAAUACCCUUAAACGAGAAAAAUCUAUUAAACUAGACGUUACAGACACCGCUAGAGCAACUAGAAGCAAAGCAGGAACGAAACAAGAAAUCAUAUCACAAUCUAAGAUGUUGUAAUGGAGGUAAACUUUAAAGUUGAUGGAGCUUGGACAGUAUUAAAUUCGUUUUGAAACAUUGGACAGUGCUCAACUAAGUGCCUAUUCAUUUAAACUUGACCACGACGCAAAUGAAACUUGGACAGUCUCAUAUCUUCUAAGAAGCAGCGAACAGACCUGUACUAAGCCUUUAAUUGUUUAAACUUGAUCAUGAUGAGUUUGGUUCUUUAGGUACUGACAAAAAAGCAAAAAACUACACCGGCUGUUCUGUGCGUAAUCAGUAUGAUUUACUUCAAAUAUUUAUCUUUAGUGUGUCGAAAACUGGUUCUUCUUUGGUUGAAACAGUUUUCAAGCAUAAGUAAGUGAUAAUAUUAACAAUGACGUUAUUUUGAGGUACUUUUUGGUGUUCAGUGACUAAACCUGUGUAGGGAUUAGAAAAAUUGAAGCAUAAAUUAAUGUCGAUAACCUUGUUUAAGUUAAAAUUAGGUAUUGAUAUUGAUUUUUAUAUGAGUGUAUCAUGUUUUUUUUACCUUAUUUUUAUUUAUUAUGUGUAAUUCAAAGUUUUAAUGAGUGUUGUGUAUAUUAAUUUAAACGUUCCCUAUUUUUGAUGUAUGUGUGGGAGUACUCGGUAUAGCAAUAAACAAUUUCAAUGUGUAACAAUUAAAGUGCUUCGAUUGUGCCGACUUAGUUAAAUCGCGACACAGUGCGAAAACAUCUAUUGCCAUAAGAACAAUGUAAAUAGUUUUAGUAUAAAUAGCAUGUAAAUAAUUUACUAAAUUAGUCUAACACAACAUUGGAUGCUGCAAAAAUGUCAACCCUUGGAUGCUGCAAUAGUGUCAACCAUCGGAUGCUGCAAUAGUGUCAAAACUCAUCAUUGAUGCAGAAAUGUGUCCAACGUUUUUAUAAAAUCGGUUCUUAUCAGAACUACAAUUUCCGAUAGUCCUUAAUCGACUACAGUGGUGACCCCGACUAAAGAACGUAUGGACAAUAAUGAACUACAUUGGUGACCACUCUGGUUUCGUUUUUAGUAACGAAUAGACCUCAGUACACGAUUUAUUGAUGUUAAUCUUUGUAAUCAAAAUGGGAUUGCAAUACUGAGACGCUCAACUGUGCCUUUUCACUCGUCACAUUGUGACAUAGGUACAACAUAAUUGUAAAUUAAAUUAUCAUUUGGUCUGUUUGCGAAAGCGGGACUUUUAUGUCCUCGCUGGGGACAGCGAGACGGACAGUCUGAAAGUGGGACUGUCCCUCCCAAAGCGGGAGUAUGGUCACCUUAUACAUUCCCUCCAGACGGAUCUAAACAACAUGAGACGACACAUGGUGGAGAAAUUGAAGAACCAACCCCAUUCAAAUUCACGCAGUUUUUUACUCCGAAGACGUUCAAACCGCAAUAUUAGGGCAAAUGGUCAAGGGCAAGACCAACAUAUUCUAUCAUGACGGAUAACAACAGGAAAUCAACCAGAAAACCACGUAUGGUAACGAAAGUGCCGAAUUCAUGAAAAAGACAAAGGUUGGGCGUAACAAUUUGGUAACAUCAAAUAUAAGAGAUGUUAAGAUUAAGAAAUCAGUGAAUGCAUUUAAGUAAGUCAUAAAAAAGCAACACAAUGUGGACCGUGGAGUUGAUAAGAUUUUAAGCCGUCUGCCGAAAGUCUUACUCGUUGUGCUGGUAUUUUGGUUUACUGUAGUGUACAUAACUGCAGCUAGGAUACAUUUAAGGAAACUUUAAAAUCAUCCAAUGCCAGAAAGACUCUCCAGAUGUUUUGCUCGUGGACAAUUUGCAAAAGACAUUCGGGAGAAAGAAAGUUGUGAGAGGAAUCUCAUUCGGAG